Molecule: ribosomal RNA, 25 nt
Filed under: Trichoderma longibrachiatum
Lineage: Eukaryota; Fungi; Ascomycota; Sordariomycetes; Hypocreales; Hypocreaceae
Description: partial 18S ribosomal RNA
Source: RNAcentral
UUCUGAUCUUGCUGAGGGGAUCAUU